GAGUUAGUGGCGGACGGGUGAGUAACGCGUGAGCAACCUGCCCUCGAGGGGGACAACAGUUGGAAACGACUGCUAAGUACCGCAUGAUAUACAGAGAUCGCAGUGGUCAUUGUAUCAAAGAUUUAUCGCCGAAGGAUGGGCUCGCGUCUGAUUAGCUGGUUGGUGAGGUAACGGCUCACCAAGGCGACGAUCAGUAGCCGGACUGAGAGGUUGAACGGCCACAUUGGGACUGAGAUACGGCCCAGACUCCUACGGGAGGCAGCAGUGGGGAAUAUUGGGCAAUGGGGGGCCAACCCUGACCCAGCAACGCCGCGUGAAGGAAGAAGGCUUUCGGGUUGUAAACUUCUUUUAUCAGGGACGAUAAUGACGGUACCUGAUGAAUAAGCCACGGCUAACUACGUGCCAGCAGCCGC
This 413-nucleotide ribosomal RNA is filed under the name uncultured bacterium. Its description in RNAcentral is "bacterial SSU rRNA". It matches the Rfam family "Bacterial small subunit ribosomal RNA", at positions 89 to 518 of the family's 1533-position model. The record is from RNAcentral.